Molecule: long non-coding RNA, 3117 nt
Filed under: Numida meleagris (helmeted guineafowl)
Lineage: Eukaryota; Metazoa; Chordata; Aves; Galliformes; Numididae
Description: lncRNA (ENSNMEG00000019042.1)
Source: RNAcentral
AUGCCAGAAAUGAUCAAAUCGGUCAUCUCACGCAAUGACUGUGCAGCUUCCCACACAACUUCCGGACGUGUUACUGUCUUUCCAUUGUGAGUAUGCUUGCUCCUGCCACCCUCGUCUGGGCAAGACGGCAGCUUUUCAGCUGCCGACUGUACUCGCUAUGGCACUUUCCAGUGUUUAGAGGCCUAGUUUGCCGGGAACUGCUUGCUCUUGAUCAGUUGGAUUGCUCUUGAUCAGUUAGAUUGCUUUUGUAGGAAGAUACGGCAUAGCAAAAUCACGUUUCACAUCCAUGCCACUGUCAAAAUUAAAUUAGGGGGGUAUUUAGGCCUAAGGGCUAGAGGAGGAACAGAUUCUUGUGCAAAGAGAAGUUUGAGUGUGGUGGGCUUCUGCAGAGCUCUGUCUCGUAGCAUCGCUGCAGCGCAGUGCCGUCCAGAAGAGGCGGGGGCGCGGGGCGUGGAGUUGAGCCUUGAGAGCUGCAAAGACAUUAAUCUGCAAGAAACUCAGAGGGCAAGAAGAGAACGGAAAGGGCCAUUGGGUAACUGGGCAGCAAGCACCCAGUGUGUUCUGCGUGAGCGUUCUGAGUGAGAGAGGAAUACUUCCUCCUCUGAAGCAUCCAGGGGGAUUUGUUGGGAGUACAACCGUUCUCACAGCAAGGACGGAACAACACUGGCACGUACUGAUGGGGCCUUGCCUGCUCCUCCAGACACUGGAGAUCCUUGUACGGUUCUCCAGAAUGAGCUGCUCUGGGAAGCGAUGGCCUUCCAGUGUCUCUGCGCACUGUCUCUGUCACUCCGUUACUGGGGCAAGCUGCAAGAGGAAGUGUUGCCCUUCCUUCAGCCUGCUUCUUCCUCUUUCAGGAACAAGCAGGAGAGUGUACUUAAAAUGGCUGAAACAGCAAAGGUGGUCCUGAAACGCCGCAUGAAGACCAGCCGAGAGCUAGGCUGGGCAAGAGCUGGUGACACAGGCAGGAAAGGGGACCUUUGCGAGGCGCGCCUCCUUCAUCGAGCAGUGCUUUCUCCACAGAGAUUACUGGCAUUGACUGUAAUGCCAGAAAAAGGCCAGAAAGCUGAGGAGAAAGAGCCUUGCACCAGGCAGCUACUGGCCAUCCUGAGGAGAUCCUUGGAGGAAAAAGAAGCACAUGAGAAAGUGAUUCCUCUGGGCACUCCCAGGAUGGUGGACUUCUUUGCUGAAGCAGUGGAGGAGAAUAGAAGGAAAAAACGGUUUCAGACCAAGAAGGUGAAGAAGGGGAAGGAGGAGAAGGGGAAGAAGGUGAAGAAGGAGAAGGAGGAGAAGGGGAAGAANNNNNNNNNNNNNNNNNNNNNNNNNNNNNNNNNNNNNNNNNNNNNNNNGAAGAAGGAGAAGGAGGAGAAGGGGAAGAAGGAGAAAAAGGAGAAGAAGGAGAAGGAGGAGAAGGGGAAGAAGGAGAAAAAGGAGAAGGAGGGGAAGAAGGAGAAGGAGGAGAAGAAGGUGAAGGUGAAGGAGGAGAAGGUGGUGAAGGUGAAGGUGAAGGAGGAGAAGGUGGUGAAGGUGAAGAAGGAGGAGAAGGUGGUGAAGGUGAAGAAGGAGAAGGUGGGGAAGCAGGAGAAGAAGAAAGUUCCAAAACAUGUCCAUAAGUUCUUGGCUGCAGAGGAGAAAAAGAACAAAAUGCUGCAGAAGGAGAAAGAGAAGCAAGCCAGGCAGCAAAAGUUGGCACUAGAGAACACAAAUGCAGAGCCAGAAGAAGUGGAGAUGCCACCGGCCCAGGAACCCCCUGCCUCUGAGGAAGAAUAUUACAGCUCUCUGUCUGAGAGCGAGUCAGAGGAGUCCAGCCCUAGCCUGACAGAGAGGAUGAUGGGGGAGUCGGAAGAGGCUGAGGAAGAGCUGCCCGGUAUCUUCUGGGACAGCCCUGUUUCCCCUAAUCGGAGCCUUUCUCCAAGGACAGAUGAGGCCCUGCGAGACGUGGUGAACUGCAGUGUGGAGCAGGUGGCCCGUAAGCAACGGGGACAGAGAGAUGUGGAGAUGGAUCUGCAGGGCCGGCUCCAGAGGUAAAGCUCUCCAGAUAGGCUGAGUUUGCUCUCCCACACUGCCCUUCUCCCACCCCUUGCAGCACCAGGGGAAAAGAGGGGCUUUUCUUGGAAGUGGGUUCUUGGCACAGCCACCUCCUGCAGUCACAGCAGGCACCAAGCUUGGGAGCCGCAGCAGGAGAGCCGUCUCCCUGUGCUCACACCUCCUCCACUGUGUGCCUACAGUGAACUUGCAGUGCUGCGCUGGGGCGGGCCAACCGUAGAAGCGCACAGCAUCCUUGAUCUGCUAGGAGCUGGACUCAGACCUGCACCCCCUGCUGGGCCAAGGCCGGGCAAGGCAGCACGGGUAGGUGUAUGGGCUCCCGUAAGCACCAUGUCAUAGCUAGUUGUAGCAAGCCAUGAGGAGACCCUCUUGGGCCCAGGGGGGCCACAGUCCUUGUGGUAUGAAGAGCAGUUGGCUGUGGAGCUGGAGACCUGCACACAGGCACCCCUUCCAGCCAGAAGGCGCUGCGGAUAAAGUUUCACAGUGGGACUCUGGCAGCUGCAAACAGGAGGGUCUGAGGUGUCAUCCACUGUCUGGUGGCUCUCCAUUCUCCACCUGGAGUCCCUCCUUCUCCUCCCAGAAUACAGACCUCUAAACACCUCACCCUCACAGCCUGUAUCUGCUCAGGCUGAAGUCUCAGCCUUUGCCUGACUCGGUACCUGGUCAAUUAGCCCCUCUGCAGGCUACCCCAGAUUGGGACUGGCCACAAGGGCUGCAAUUACAUUACAGAGACCAUGAGCCUGCUCUCUCUCUAGACACAUACAAGCAGAGCCACUCUCUUAUACUGCUAAGAGACUUGAGUGUUGCACAGCAUGUCUCUGCAUUCACGAAACUACAGAGCUUUACAUUGAACUCCUUAGGACCGGAGAGCAGCGCCCAUGUACAUCGACAAGGACCAUGAGAGACCUGCCAGCAUUGAGAUUCCUGAGCAAGACAUCCAGCAAGUGUCACCCAGCAGCUCAAUGAGGGCCACUGCUUACCUUUGGUGAUGUUAAUGGUGGCACUACUAAAGGCAUGUCGCCACUGUCAAUGUCACCAUUUCCCUAUGUCCAAUAAAGCCCCAUCUCCCAAGCA